CCUAAAUUCAAUUCCUGCAGAGCUUUCGAAACCUUUUUCGCAGAUCUUUUUGCAAUCUUCAAUUGAUUUUUCUGCUCCUCGUGAAGCCACUUCGUGAAGGUGAGGCGCCAGUUCUUUCGCUUCAUGAAAUUCCACAGAAUAAUCCAGUUCCUCACUGAUAUAUAGCAUAUAAUAAAUAGUGUGGAAUAAUUUGUCUGCUAAUGAUACCUGUGAGCCAUGCACACCAUGUAUAUAUCACGCCACCAGUUCUUUUGCUUCAUGAUUUGUAGCACUUAAUUGCGAUGGAUCAGAACAAGUUUGAUGAGCGAGCUAGCUAACAUGCAUGCAAUGAGACAGUGAGUGCCCACCACAAGAUCAUAACACAGGCUAUAUACGUAUUGACUACGCUGGCGCGCUCAUGGCCCAUCAUAUAUCUCUCGUGUGUGCUAAGCAUCCAAUUGAUUCACAGUUGAGCAGUCCAUUCUGUCAGUUUGGGCAAUCAAAGCUCUCCAUUUCUCUCCGUCGUCGUCCCCUUCAUCAAAUCUCGAUGAGGGAAUAAAGCCAA
This 544-nucleotide long non-coding RNA is filed under the name Zea mays. RNAcentral describes it as "long non-coding RNA (ZMAY_LNC001406)". The record is from RNAcentral. Lineage: Eukaryota; Viridiplantae; Streptophyta; Magnoliopsida; Poales; Poaceae.